Hyaena hyaena (striped hyena) is the source of this 3378-nucleotide long non-coding RNA. RefSeq lists it as uncharacterized. Lineage: Eukaryota; Metazoa; Chordata; Mammalia; Carnivora; Hyaenidae. The transcript has 3 exons. The record is from RefSeq and is a predicted model, not a curated record.
UGAGUUGAACACUCUCGCCAGAGCCUUGAGUCACCAUGUAAGCGUUCGACCCAUUUCUGUGGUGGAAACACUCCUAGAAUGGCCAACCUUAAGCUACUCAAGUGGCAAAUGCAGAAUUGAAAAGAGGUGCCCACCACUGGCAUGCGGGCACACGGAGCUGGAGUGGAUCCUGAAACAGGGGGAAAAACACAUAAAAGGAGAACAUUAACAUGGUACCCGAUCGCCCCCUCUCCCCACUGAACACUUUGGUGGUGUUUGCAUGGAUUUGCACUCUUGGUUUCAUUUCCGUUCUUGGUGACUACGUGGAGACCUUUGGCGUGAUUGCCGACUAUCAAGCUAUCAAAAUCUCCUACUGCAGGGCCUCACUGGAAUACAGUUCCUGUAGACCUGAGCAAGUUCACAACUCCACCCACCCCCCCAACCCCAGGAAACUGCUCUUCUAGUUUUCCCUGCUCCUCCUGGCCUUUGGCUUUGGCUCUGGCUUUGGCGGAAGCAAACCAGAGCGGGAGAAGACAGAGCUGGGGCCUUCCAGGGCCACCUUGACAGGAAAUUAAUUCGUGUGGUCACCUUCCUCGCAAGGGUCGUUUGUCUGCGGCUAGAAAUCAACAUCUUGCAUGGAGCUGUGUCUUUGUUGUGCUGGGGAGGUGGGGGGGGGCAGAAACCCCCCUCCCCCAACAGCGAGCCUAGUAGUUGCUCAGGAAAGAACAGUCAGCAAAGGUUCUGGGCUCUUCUCACCACCUUAUCACUAAAUUAUCUCGGGCACACUGCUGCCACACGCUGGAAUUCUGCCACACCAUCUGCAACGCGAGGUGGCCAAACUAGACUCCCUUCCAGAUCUAACACGGUGCAACUGGUUGUAGGCAACUGCGUCCAAAUCUUGCCUUUGUUUCCCUGAAGCCAGCAUCUGUCAGGACGUUUCAAGAGCUCCGAGUUCAGACAUCUUCACGUUUUCCGGAGCCUUCUUACUUUGUGAACGGGCCUUUCAAGAUCCAAGGAGUAAAAGCGCCCCCAAAGUCCGAAGCAGAUAAAAAGCAAUAGCUCCGCCAGACAAGAAGAAAGUUGUGUGUAUGUUUUCUCUCCUCUCUCUCUCAUCAGGGCAACUUCUGACUGAUUCAAACAUUUGUUACACUUUUCCUGGAAACUUAAAAGUUUAGUUUGGAAUACAGUCAUGGAGAGAAAAUUCUGCUGAGCGCAUAAUGUAAAAAUAUGGUUGCUAAUGAGUGGCACUGAGUUAACAGGAAAUAAGGAAGAAAAAUACAAAUUUUGGAAGAAAACAAGCAAUUUCAAAAUGUUUCCAUUCGCUCCGAAUCCAGCUUCAUUGCUUCGAAGGGUAGUUUGGAAAUUCUUCUCAUGAAAGUGCCGUAAAUAUUACCGUAGGCUGUCUAUUUUCUGGCCCAGAAGCGAGGGGUAGAAAUGACAGAUUUCCUCGAACACCUUCUGGGAAAUGUGUGUUGAUGGCACUUCUGAUUUUAAAAUGCUUCAUCCCUUCCUCCAGUGAAAAUACAUCAUAUUCUGCCACAACGCAGGACAGAGUGGCAAACUCCUACUUCUUCAAUUAAGAAAACUAAACCUGUUUGUUCUUUGUGACUGGGUGUGUGUUGUGCGUGGGAUAGAUUUUGAGAGAGUUGCGGGAGCGAUCACAAAAGAACCUUCUUCCUCCCUAUUAGAAAGCCCGACUUUACACCAUUCUUUGGCAUUUUCGAACCACCAAGCACCCGGUUUGAAGCCUACGAAUAAAAUACAAGCCCAGAUGCUGUGUUUACGCUGGCGUGCAUUAACACUUCAUAAGCAGUUCAUUAAACUGAUAACACUUUAAACGGUAACACUGGCUCUUUCAGCCUCUCUCAGCCUGUAAUUGUCCUGAGGCACCAAAUGAACCCUCUCCAGGCUGGGAACCACAGGAAUUUACAUUCUUGACGUGUGUCUCUUAAUUAUGGACACCCUGGGCCCCGGCUGACUCGGAGAGGGCCGGGCUCAAGCCUGCACGCCCCAGUGACUGUGCACACAGGGAAAGACCCUGAGGACCCCUGUGCUGGGGACACUGCCCAGGGAAACAGGCUUUGGGGACUGGUCUAGGCCGCGAGAGCAAGGCUGUCUCCCCCCCAGUUUCCCGAAACACCUCAGCAGGGUUUGGGCGAAGCCUCUCACUAGAAACCAGUUUUCCAAGAACAAAUCUCCCUGUUGAUAAAGGUCUUGUGAACGAAUGUUCGCCACCCUCUUGAGUUUCCUCGCUCACUGCCCCAGCACUCUCUAGGAAUGGGAGAGCCUGGGGCAGCCUGGGGCCCUUCUCCCUGGCAUAAACUUCUAAGCCCCUGGGGACUGUCUUAUCAGAGAGGACGCCCCGGCCGUCUUUAUGUCGGCCUCCCUGCGCACAGUACUCUUUCAGGAACGACGUAAGGGUUAACUGUCCGAUCACCACUGUGUGAGCUCUCUGCAUGCAUUUCACCCAAUUCGACAAUCCAGGGAGGCUCUACCUCUUCGGAAUGGUGACACCGAGGCUUGCCUGGCCACAAAGGGAUGACGAUGUCAGCCCCCUUGACUUGAGCACAGGGUGCUCUACGGAGUAAGCCUUUCCUAACAUCGCCUCCGACGUCCUACCAACUGGUCAGGACCUUAUUAUCCUCUCUUUGCAAAAGAGAAAGGGGAGACAAAGGGGAGGAGGGACUGAAUUGGAACUCAAGUCCACCCGGCUCCCAUGACCCGGUGGAGGCCUCUAUGUGAUGGUCCUCUCUGAGGACACGGGGUGUGUACAGCCACUGAGGGGCUCUCUAAGCCCCGCUCCUGGGGUUUCACCCCGAGGACAGAGAGAACCCGGUCCCUCUCGCCCCUCCUGGCGGGCUAGUGCCGGCGUCCCUGAGUUCCCACGCCUCCCGCUCCACGGAACUGAUGGUAACUGACUGGAUGAGCAACUGAUGGGUAACUGAUGGGUAACUGACCGGCUGCUGAUUAACCUCAGCGAGGUUUCGGCGAGCGCCCUUCCCAGGCCCGGAGGUCUACGGCUGGCUGCUCGCAGGCGGACACCUCACCUUGAGUCCCUUGCCUGGAAUUGAUCCAGAGUCCGCAGCGAGGAUGCUCGGGGACUUGAAGGGCGAUGCGCCGCGGCCGGGCGCACAGCGCCAUCGCGUGGCCAGGUUGGGUAGCGCAGCUGGGACCUCCGACUCCCACCUUCUCCAGGACCAGGAUUAGUUGGGCGAUUCCGGAUGGGGAAGAACCACUUCCUCCUUUUGGGAACCUCCCUGGGUCUCUACCUCUGGGCUCUGGCGGCUGACGUGGCUGUAACAGCAGGAGACGCUAUGGUCAGUCCUGAAGUCUUCAGUGGAGCGACUGGUGGGGCAACGGAUUUCUUCCUCCUGAAAAUAAAGCACAGGUAGCAACGGC